GACGAACGCUGGCGGCGUGCCUAAUACAUGCAAGUUGAGCGCUGAAGGUUGGUACUUGUACCCACUGGAUGAGCAGCGAACGGGUGAGUAACGCGUGGGGAAUCUGCCUUUGAGCGGGGGACAACAUUUGGAAACGAAUGCUAAUACCGCAUAAAAACUUUAAACACAAGUUUUAAGUUUGAAAGAUGCAAUUGCAUCACUCAAAGAUGAUCCCGCGUUGUAUUAGCUAGUUGGUGAGGUAAAGGCUCACCAAGGCGAUGAUACAUAGCCGACCUGAGAGGGUGAUCGGCCACAUUGGGACUGAGACACGGCCCAAACUCCUGCGGGAGGCAGCAGUAGGGAAUCUUCGGCAAUGGACGAAAGUCUGACCGAGCAACGCCGCGUGAGUGAAGAAGGUUGUCGGAUCGUAAAACUCUGUUGGUAGAGAAGAACGUUGGUGAGAGUGGAAAGCUCAUCAAGUGACGGUAACUACCCAGAAAGGGACGGCUAACUACGUG
RNAcentral lists this ribosomal RNA (497 nucleotides) under uncultured bacterium. Its description in RNAcentral is "partial 16S ribosomal RNA". It matches the Rfam family "Bacterial small subunit ribosomal RNA", at positions 28 to 507 of the family's 1533-position model. The record is from RNAcentral.